Molecule: ribosomal RNA, 406 nt
Filed under: uncultured bacterium
Lineage: Bacteria
Description: partial 16S ribosomal RNA
Rfam family: Bacterial small subunit ribosomal RNA
Source: RNAcentral
AUUGAACGCUGGCGGCAGGCCUAACACAUGCAAGUCGAACGAGUGGCGGACGGGUGAGUAAUGUCUGGGAAACUGCCUGAUGUAGGGGGAUAACUACUGGAAACGGUAGCUAAUACCGCAUACCAUCAGAUGUGCCCAGAUGGGAUUGGCUAGUUGGUGGGGUAACGGCUCACCAAGGCGACGAUCCCUAGCGGGUCUGAGAGGAUGACCAGCCACACUGGAACUGUGACACGGGCCAGACUCCUACGGGAGGCGGCAGUGGGGAAUAUUGCACAAUGGGCACAGGCCUGAUGCAGGCAGGCCGCGUGUAGGAAGAAGGCCUUAGGGUUGUAAGGUACUUUCAGCGGGGAGGCGGUACCCGCAGAAGAAGCACCGGCUAACUCCGUGCCAGCAGCCGCGGUAAUAC